CCGCAGCGCGCGCGGAUUGGGCGCGGGUGGGUGCGGGGCCCCGGGCCGGGAGCCCUCCUUCCGUCCCCUCGUAGGCUGCUCGUACUGCCGCCCGCUUACAGAGGGGAAAACCGGGGCGCUCAGCAGACUUCUCCACACUGUUCAAGACCCUGCCCUGGGGAGCCCUCCCUGCUCUGUGGCCACUGCCCAGCCCAGGUCUCACCAUAGCAUCUGGUCCCCAGCAGGCUGAGCCCCCUGAGGCUCGGGGUCAGGUCUGUGCCGACUUUGCAGCCCUGCGACAGUGGAUUCUCAGUAAACGCUUCCUGAGAGCAAAGACAUGAGGGCUGGAACCUGGCUCCCCUGCAUGCAGACUACAUCUGCCAGGUGCGGUGCUAGGAGAGGCAGGUACUCCCUGGGCUGGAAUUUCCCAAGAUCUGCCGUCUGGGAGGGGAACGAACACUGGUGACCAUCAUUGUCAAGGCCACGGUGCGUGGACCGCCGACCCUGUGCCCCGCCUCGUGCUGGACACUGUGACCUGGCCCCUCAGCCCCUCACUAGAACCCUUCAGGUUUUCCUGCCCCGCUGUGCAGGCCAGGAGACCUGGAUGCAGAGUGACUUGCUCACGGCCAUGUGCCCAAAGGCAGGAGCCAAGACUGGAACCCAGCUCAGGCGUAUCCUAAAGGCUUGUCAAAUCCUACUGGAGCCUGGGGACAGUUUUGUGCAAGCGGGAGUUCCAGAUUCUUCUGCCUCUUUCCCACCUGCCUCCCUUCACUCCCCCCACCCCCACUUUGGUAAAGGUCGCCGCCAGCUCCCUGGUUGCUGAGCCUGAUGCUCCAGACCCAAGCUGCCCCCUCUCCUUGGCUGCCCCCUCUUUCAGGGGCCAGUCCUGAAGUGCCACUCUGAUAGGCCUUGUUGCAGCUUCGCUACCCAGUGUAUCUGGCUAGGGGUUCUCUCUCCCAUCUCCUCCCCCCGCCCCCCCCCUCCAGCCACCAUUUUUUUGAAGAUAGGGCCUCUUGUGAGGGACCAGACAAAGUGCUUCUUCUUCCUCUUUUUUUUUAGGGCUGCACCUGCGGCAUAUGGAGGUUCCCAGGCUAAAGGUCAAAUCACAGUUGUCGCUGCCGGCCUAUACCACAGCCACAGCAAUGCUAGAUCCAAGCUGUGUCUGUAAUCUACACCACAGCUCACGGCAAUGCCAAAUUCUUAACCCACUGAGUGAGGCCAGGGAUCAAACCUGUGUCCUCAUGGAUGCUAGUCAGAUUCAUUUCUGUUGAGCCACGUUGGGAACUCCCUUUUUUUUUUUUUUUUUUUUUUCUUUUCUUUUUAGGGCUGCACCUGCACCAUAUUGAAGUGAAAUUCCCAGACUAGGGGUCACAUUGAAGCUGCAGCUGCCAGCCUACGCUGCAGCCACAGCAACACCGGGUUCUUAACCCACUGAUCGAGGCCAGGGAUGGAACCCGCAUUCUCAUGGAUACUAGUCGGGUUCGUAGCCUGCUGAACCACGGCAGGCACUCCCUCUCCCUCUCCCUCCCUCUUGAGAAAAAAAGGACAAAAUUAAAUUGUGGCGAGUUAUCAUCGAUCUCGAGAAAGCCGCACUGAGGUCUGUGGGCACCUUUCUUUGAAGAUGCACCUCACGUGGUUGCAGUGGAUAAGGGGGCGCUGGAGGCCAGGCCAGCUGGCCGGUCCCUGGUGUCCUCAUAGAAUAUCGCAGGGCGGGCAAGCUACUCCCACCCUAGAGCCGCCUAGGGAGGUGGCGGCCCCCACAGCCCACCCCUUCGGCCAUAAGAGACUCCAUGAGGGGCUCACUGCCACUACCCUGCCUUCCUUGAAGCAGUGUCCUCCUGGGGAGGCCAUGUUCUAAAACUGCCUGUGGUGAUGGGUGCGUAACCCCAUGAAGGCACCAAAAACCACUGACUUACACUCUUUAAAUGGGGGAAUUGCAGAGUGGGUGAAUUAUAGCUCCAUGUAUCUAUUUGAAAACACACACAACGCAGUUCCCCGGUGGCCUAAUGGUUAAGGACCCAGUGUUCUCACUGCUAAGGCAUGGGUUGCUGCCGUGGUGCGGGUUUGAUCUCUGGUCCUGGACUUUUGCAUGCUAUGGGUGUGCCCCCCAGGAGAAAAAAAAACCACACACACCCUUAACCUAAGUGUCCUGUGUCUUCCCCAGGGAGGCCAGACAAAUGAAAUGUGGGGAAAAAAAUCAUGACAACACUCAAAUAUUACCUGAUAGGGACAAUCAAAGCUAACAACUUCUUUUUCUUUUUUGGCUGUGCCAGCAGCAUGCAGAAAUUCCCAGGCCAGGGAUAGAACCUGUGCUACAGCAAUAACCAGAGCCACAGUGGUGACAACGCUGGAUCCUUAACCCACGGUGCCACCAGGGAACUCUCUGGGCUAACACAUCUUUAGUGCUGGUGACAUGCUGUUAACUGCUAUGACUCUCACCCCAGCUCUGUCAGGCAGACCUUAUUAUGUUCCCCCUUGACAGAUGGGGAAACUGAGGCACACGGUGGGGAAUGCGACUUGCCAAGUUCACAUGAAAAGACAUGUCAGGGCAAGAUUUAAGCCCCAGGAGUUCCUGUUGUGGCUCAGCGGGUUAAGAACCCAACAUAGUAUCUGUGAGGAUGCAGGUUCCAUCCCUGCUCUCGCUCAGUGGGUUACGGAUCUGGCGUUGCCCUGAGCUGUGGUGGUGGUUGCAGACGCAGCUCAGAUCCCGUGUUGCUGUGGCUGUGGUGUAGACUGGCAGCUGUGGCUCCAAUUAUAUCCCUAGGCUGGGAACCUCCAUGUGCUGUGGGUGUGGCCCUAAAAAGAAGAAAAAAAAAGAUUUCAGCCCCACCGUCUAGCUCCAGUACCCUCUCAUCAACCCCGGACAGAGACAGCGGUAAGGAAGAUACCCGUAUAAUAUCAACAAGUGUCCCCACUAGUGGUUCCUCCAUGUUCCUAUCAGCAUCAGUGACCCACAGGCUGGUCUAGUUUCAGACAACACCCCCCCCUUUUUUUUUUACUGGAAUCAUGUGAAGCGUAUCUUUUGAGAAAGAUGCAACUUCCUCUAAAUCAUCUUAUUUCAGCUCUACCCCCUCCUCUGCCCCCCCGCCACCCCCCCCACUCCCCCACAUACCCCUGCUGGAUUCUUCUAUUGCACGUCUUAUUGUCCUAUCAUUUCAUUCAUAAAUUCUGCAGAAUGCAUCUCUGUGAUAAGACCUCUUCUCCAACAAUCACAUUUUCGUUUAAUUACCACUUUCAUACCCACAAGAGGUUAAUGAUUCAGUAACAUCCUCCCAAGUCGACCCCCACGCCCGUUGUUUCCGAAAUGUAUUAAUGAGAACUUGGGCCAAAUCAAGAGACGAUGUUCAUACAUUGCAUUUGGCUGGGAUAGCUCUUAAAUCCCUUGUACGCUAGAAGGAUUCUUUUUAUUUCCUUGACGUUUAGUCGUGCAGAAAGUGUGAGAUCCUGGCUCUUUGGCAUUGAUUUGCUGCCUCUUAAACGCCCUCCAGCAAAAACGGGAAGGGUGGUGGGUGGAGGGGGUAACGGGUGAUGGGAGCCUGGCCCAGCCUCCGGGCCUGGUGGAGAGUCUGGUAUUUCCACCUCGCUGGUCAUCUGGAAAGAGAAAAUACUGGGCCUUGGCGGAAAGGAGCCGCACAUUGAUGUUGGCAGCAGCUAAAUACAUGCAUUUGUCCGUUUUGUCACAAAUGCUGUCAAUACUACCUUUCAAAGCAUAUCUGGGAGUUCCCGUCAUGGCGCAGCAGAAACAAAUCCGACUGGCAAUCCAUGAGGUUGCAGGUUUGAUUCCUGGCCUCACUCAGCGGGUUGAGGAUCUGGCAACGCUGUGAGCUGUGGUGUAAGUGGCGGACAUGGCUCAGAUUGGGCAUUGCUGUGGCUGUGGCUAUGGCCAGCAGCUGUAGCUCUGAUUCGACCCCUAGCCUGGGAACCUCCACAUGUUGCAGGUGUGGUCCUAAAAAGACAAAAAAGAUGAAAAGAAAAAAAAACCAUCUCUGAAACCUUCCCUUUUUUUUUUUUUAUUACUCAAAUGAAUUUAUCACAUCUGUAGUUGUAUAAUGAUCAUAACAAUCUGAUUUCACAGGAUUUCUAUCCCACAGCCCAAGCACAUCCCCCCACCCCCUAAACUGUCUCCUCCGGAGACCAUAAGUUUUUCAAAGCCUGUGAGUCAGCAUCUGUUCUGCAAAAAAUUUCAGUCUAUCCUUUUUUCAGAUUCCGCAUGUCAAUGAAAGCAUUUGAUGUUGGUGUCUCACUGUAUGGCUGACUUCACUUAGCAAGAUAGUUUCUAGGUCCGUCCAUGUUGCUAAAAAUGCCAGUAUUUCGUUCCUUUUAAUGGCUGAGUCAUAUUCCAUUGUGUAUAUGUACAUCUUCUUGAUCCACUCCUCUGUUGAUGGAUAUUUAGGUUGUUUCCAUGUCUUGGCUAUUGUAAAUAGUGCUGCAAUAAACAUUGGAGUACGU
Sus scrofa (pig) is the source of this 4428-nucleotide non-coding RNA. NCBI's taxonomy places the organism in Eukaryota, Metazoa, Chordata, Mammalia, Artiodactyla, Suidae. The record is from RefSeq and is a predicted model, not a curated record.